This 623-nucleotide ribosomal RNA is filed under the name Naganishia diffluens. Its description in RNAcentral is "eukaryotic LSU rRNA". It matches the Rfam family "Eukaryotic large subunit ribosomal RNA", at positions 38 to 667 of the family's 3401-position model. Lineage: Eukaryota; Fungi; Basidiomycota; Tremellomycetes; Filobasidiales; Filobasidiaceae. The record is from RNAcentral.
GCAUAUCAAUAAGCGGAGGAAAAGAAACUUACGGGGAUUCCCCUAGUACGGCGAGUGAGCGGGAAGAGCUCAAAUUUGAAAUCUAGUAGCCUUCGGCUGCUCGAGUUGUAAUCUAGAGAAGUGUUUUCCGUGCCGGCCCAUGUACAAGUCCCUUGGAACAGGGCGUCAUAGAGGGUGAGAAUCCCGUCCUUGACAUGGACCCCCGGUGCUCUGUGAUACACUUUCAACGAGUCGAGUUGUUUGGGAAUGCAGCUCAAAAUGGGUGGUGAAUUCCAUCUAAAGCUAAAUAUUGGCGAGAGACCGAUAGCGAACAAGUACCGUGAGGGAAAGAUGAAAAGCACUUUGGAAAGAGAGUUAAACAGUACGUGAAAUUGUUGAAAGGGAAACGAUUGAAGUCAGUCAUGCUCUUUGGUAUUUAUAUCAUUGAGUGGGGUCAACAUCAGUUUUGAGCGAUGGAUAAAGGCACUAGGAAGGUAGCACUCUCGGGUGAACUUAUAGCCUAGCGUCAUAUACAUUGUUUGGGACUGAGGAACGCAGCAUGCCUUUAUGGCCGGGAUUCGUCCACGUACAUGCUUAGGAUGUUGACAUAAUGGCUUUAAACGACCCGUCUUGAAACACGGACC